This 359-nucleotide ribosomal RNA is filed under the name Labroides dimidiatus (bluestreak cleaner wrasse). RNAcentral describes it as "partial 12S ribosomal RNA". It matches the Rfam family "Bacterial small subunit ribosomal RNA", at positions 974 to 1533 of the family's 1533-position model. Lineage: Eukaryota; Metazoa; Chordata; Actinopteri; Labriformes; Labridae. The record is from RNAcentral.
CCUUUCCUUGUCUUAUCUGCCUAUAUACCGCCGUCGUCAGCUUACUCUGUGAAGAAUUUGUAGUAAGCAUAAUUGGCACAGCCCAAAACGCCAGGUCGAGGUGUAGCGAAUGGAAAGGGAAGAAAUGGGCUACAUUCAAUAUUAAUAAUGAAUACGAAUGAUACCUUGAAAAAGGUAUCUGAAGGAGGAUUUAGUAGUAAGCAAAGAAUAGAGCGCUAUGCUGAAACCGGCCCUGAAGCGCGUACACACCGCCCGUCACUCUCCCCGAGCUAACUUAACGAUAUUACUAAUAAGCAAUAACUGUAAAGGGGAGGCAAGUCGUAACAUGGUAAGUGUACCGGAAGGUGCGCUUGGAAAAA